Long non-coding RNA from Etheostoma spectabile (orangethroat darter), 114 nucleotides. RefSeq lists it as uncharacterized. The transcript has 3 exons. NCBI's taxonomy places the organism in Eukaryota, Metazoa, Chordata, Actinopteri, Perciformes, Percidae. The record is from RefSeq and is a predicted model, not a curated record.
AUAGUAAAUUGUUGUUGUUAUGAGACGUCGUCGCAGGAUAAGAGGUCAAAGGCUAGAGGUCGCAGGGUGUGGCGAUGACAUCAUCGAUACGCAAGUAUGCAACAAAUAGACGCA